RNAcentral lists this non-coding RNA (21 nucleotides) under Caenorhabditis elegans. The record is from RNAcentral. Lineage: Eukaryota; Metazoa; Nematoda; Chromadorea; Rhabditida; Rhabditidae.
UGAAAAAUUGCACCCGACAAC